RNAcentral lists this ribosomal RNA (390 nucleotides) under uncultured Methylobacterium sp. RNAcentral's name for it is "bacterial SSU rRNA". It matches the Rfam family "Bacterial small subunit ribosomal RNA", at positions 524 to 915 of the family's 1533-position model. The record is from RNAcentral. Lineage: Bacteria; Pseudomonadati; Pseudomonadota; Alphaproteobacteria; Hyphomicrobiales; Methylobacteriaceae.
UACGAAGGGGGCUAGCGUUGCUCGGAAUCACUGGGCGUAAAGGGCGCGUAGGCGGCCGAUUAAGUCGGGGGUGAAAGCCUGUGGCUCAACCACAGAAUUGCCUUCGAUACUGGUUGGCUUGAGACCGGAAGAGGACAGCGGAACUGCGAGUGUAGAGGUGAAAUUCGUAGAUAUUCGCAAGAACACCAGUGGCGAAGGCGGCUGUCUGGUCCGGUUCUGACGCUGAGGCGCGAAAGCGUGGGGAGCAAAUAGGAUUAGAUACACUGGUAGUCCACGCCGUAAACGAUGAAUGCCAGCCGUUGGCCUGCUUGCAGGUCAGUGGCGCCGCUAACGCAUUAAGCAUUCCGCCUGGGGAGUACGGUCGCAAGAUUAAAACUCAAAGGAAUGACG